GGAAGGGUGGCCCAGUGGUCAGGGUGCUAGCCAGAGACCUGGGUUCAAUUCCCUCCUCUGCUA
This 63-nucleotide transfer RNA is filed under the name Chelonia mydas (Green sea turtle). It matches the Rfam family "tRNA". From Rfam's summary of the family: Transfer RNA (tRNA) molecules are approximately 80 nucleotides in length. Their secondary structure includes four short double-helical elements and three loops (D, anti-codon, and T loops). Further hydrogen bonds mediate the characteristic L-shaped molecular structure. tRNAs have two regions of fundamental functional importance: the anti-codon, which is responsible for specific mRNA codon recognition, and the 3' end, to which the tRNAs corresponding amino acid is attached (by aminoacyl-tRNA synthetases). tRNAs cope with the degeneracy of the genetic code in two manners: having more than one tRNA (with a specific anti-codon) for a particular amino acid; and 'wobble' base-pairing, i.e. permitting non-standard base-pairing at the 3rd anti-codon position. The record is from Rfam by way of RNAcentral. Lineage: Eukaryota; Metazoa; Chordata; Testudines; Cheloniidae.